Octodon degus (degu) is the source of this 71-nucleotide microRNA precursor. The record is from Ensembl. NCBI's taxonomy places the organism in Eukaryota, Metazoa, Chordata, Mammalia, Rodentia, Octodontidae.
CAGCUGGUGUUGUGAAUCAGGCCGACGAGCAGUGCAUCCUCUUACCCGGCUAUUUCACGACACCAGGGUUG